CAGACCCCGGAAAAAUAAAGAAGUAACGUGCGGCGGCUCAGUUGUGUGUCCUUGCGAAAAAUCAAACAUGCCAACUUCUCCUGUUAAAACGCGGAUCCCCCUAACUAGUUUUGGGCACCUGAUAUCCGAAGUGAAGAGACAGCUGUUUGGUAUAGAGGCUCCUGCAACUGUUGAUCUGACUGGAUGGAGGAGACACUUCAACACUUAUACACUACAGGGGCGCCGCAAUUUUGUUCUGGUGACGUAUGCUGCACUGGCUGUGGGAGCUGCAGCUUACGCUGUGAACCGUAGAAACAAACAGACACAGGAAGUAGCAGAGAGUAGCACUUCCUCCCAGGCCUGAAGGACCCUUCACACACACGCGCGCACACGCACACGCACACGCACACACACACAUAGAGUAGCACUUCCUGCCAGGCCUGAAGGACCCUUCACUCUAACACUCACACUCACACACACACACACACACACACAACACACAUAAGCCAGAUGUAACUGUUUAUUGAAUUAUGUAUUAAUAAAUACCUCAACUGUGA
Molecule: long non-coding RNA, 536 nt
Organism: Sardina pilchardus (European sardine)
Lineage: Eukaryota; Metazoa; Chordata; Actinopteri; Clupeiformes; Clupeidae
Exons: 4
Source: RefSeq, a predicted model, not a curated record